This 323-nucleotide long non-coding RNA is filed under the name Linum usitatissimum (flax). RNAcentral describes it as "long non-coding RNA (LUSI_LNC001058)". The record is from RNAcentral. Lineage: Eukaryota; Viridiplantae; Streptophyta; Magnoliopsida; Malpighiales; Linaceae.
GUACCCGGCGGGAGACUUGAGGAGGGAGGAGACGGAAGCCGCCGGAAGCGAGGUUGACGGCGGACAAGUAAAAGGACUCAAUCCCGGAGACGCCGGAUUUGAUGAUGUGGCAAGCCUCCCAGAGGCGUGAGCUCUCGUCCAUGUACUCAUCGAGCCAUUUGUCGCCGAGGAGUGGGAGCUGUAGCUUCUGAACAAGUAAGGUGAGGUUGGAGUGGAAAGACUGGAGCGUGGACAAGACUUUGUGAAGGAAGUGAGCAGAUAGGAACAAGUUGUUGUUGUUGUUGUUGUGGUGGUGGUGGUGGUGGUGGUGGUGGUGGUGGUGG